GUGGGUGGCUCCUAACAGACAGCAAACUGAGAUCUUUCCUCUACAACUUCAUGGAAUUCAGCCUGUUGCUCUCAACAAUGUCAUAGUAACCAGUUAAACCUGAGCACUUGUGGGAUUUGUGCCAGAUCCAGGACAACUCUAAGGGACUCAUGAUGAAAAAGGCCAUGCAUUAUCAUAGAAUGAACUCACAGAGUCCAAAUGUAGAUUGAAACACACUAUUCUUCACUUUAUUUCCUCCAUGAAGUUUUCUCUAUUAUCUCCCAAUGCCCUUGAGGACACUGGAAAUGUUUCUCAAAUAUUUCUGAAAUCUGUAAUUAGUGAUGCCAAUUAUUAUAAUAGAAACAGAACCAAAUCUGAAUUUGUUUGAUAGGAUUUUCUUAGAAAUUUUCUAAAAAA
RNAcentral lists this long non-coding RNA (396 nucleotides) under Monodelphis domestica (gray short-tailed opossum). Its description in RNAcentral is "lncRNA (ENSMODG00000039300.1)". The record is from RNAcentral. Lineage: Eukaryota; Metazoa; Chordata; Mammalia; Didelphimorphia; Didelphidae.